RNAcentral lists this long non-coding RNA (3159 nucleotides) under Oncorhynchus mykiss (rainbow trout). Its description in RNAcentral is "lncRNA (ENSOMYG00000066571.1)". Lineage: Eukaryota; Metazoa; Chordata; Actinopteri; Salmoniformes; Salmonidae. The record is from RNAcentral.
GCCACCUGUAAUUAUCAACUGGUUGACCUAGCCACCUGUAAUUAUCAACUGGUUGACCUAGCCACCUGUAAUUAUCAGCUGGUUGACCUAGCCACCUUUAAUUAUCAGCUGGUUGACCUAGCCACCUGUAAUUAUCAGCCGGUUGACCUAGCCACCUGUAAUUAUCAGCCGGUUGACCUAGCCACCUGUAAUUAUCAGCCGGUUGACCUAGCCACCUGUAAUUAUCAGCCGGUUGACCUAGCCACCUGUAAUUAUCAGCCGGUUGACCUAGCCACCUGUAAUUAUCAGCCGGUUGACCUAGCCACCUGUAAUUAUCAGCCGGUUGACCUAGCCACCUGUAAUUAUCAGCCGGUUGACCUAGCCACCUGUAAUUAUCAGCCGGUUGACCUAGCCACCUGUAAUUAUCAGCCGGUUGACCUAGCCACCUGUAAUUAUCAGCUGGUUGACCUAGCCACCUGUAAUUAUCAGCUGGUUGACCUAGCCACCUGUAAUUAUCAGCUGGUUGACCUAGCCACCUGUAAUUAUCAGCUGGUUGACCUAGCCACCUGUAAUUAUCAGCUGGUUGACCUAGCCACCUGUAAUUAUCAGCUGGUUGACCUAGCCACCUGUAAUUAUCAGCCGGUUGACCUAGCCACCUGUAAUUAUCAGCCGGUUGACCUAGCCACCUGUAAUUAUCAGCUGGUUGACCUAGCCACCUGUAAUUACCAGCCGGUUGACCUAGCCACCUGUAAUUAUCAGCUGGUUGACCUAGCCACCUGUAAUUAUCAGCCGGUUGACCUAGCCACCUGUAAUUAUCAGCCGGUUGACCUAGCCACCUGUAAUUAUCAGCCGGUUGACCUAGCCACCUGUAAUUAUCAGCCGGUUGACCUAGCCACCUGUAAUUAUCAGCCGGUUGACCUAGCCACCUGUAAUUAUCAGCCGGUUGACCUAGCCACCUGUAAUUAUCAGCUGGUUGACCUAGCCACCUGUAAUUAUCAGCCGGUUGACCUAGCCACCUGUAAUUAUCAGCUGGUUGACCUAGCCACCUGUAAUUAUCAGCUGGUUGACCUAGCCACCUGUAAUUAUCAGCCGGUUGACCUAGCCACCUGUAAUUAUCAGCCGGUUGACCUAGCCACCUGUAAUUAUCAGCUGGUUGACCUAGCCACCUGUAAUUAUCAGCUGGUUGACCUAGCCACCUGUAAUUAUCAGCUGGUUGACCUAGCCACCUGUAAUUAUCAGCUGGUUGACCUAGCCACCUGUAAUUAUCAGCUGGUUGACCUAGCCACCUGUAAUUAUCAGCUGGUUGACCUAGCCACCUGUAAUUAUCAGCCGGUUGACCUAGCCACCUGUAAUUAUCAGCUGGUUGACCUAGCCACCUGUAAUUAUCAGCUGGUUGACCUAGCCACCUGUAAUUAUCAGCUGGUUGACCUAGCCACCUGUAAUUAUCAGCUGGUUGACCUAGCCACCUGUAAUUAUCAGCUGGUUGACCUAGCCACCUGUAAUUAUCAGCUGGUUGACCUAGCCACCUGUAAUUAUCAGCCGGUUGACCUAGCCACCUGUAAUUAUCAGCCGGUUGACCUAGCCACCUGUAAUUAUCAGCCGGUUGACCUAGCCACCUGUAAUUAUCAGCCGGUUGACCUAGCCACCUGUAAUUAUCAGCUGGUUGACCUAGCCACCUGUAAUUAUCAGCUGGUUGACCUAGCCACCUGUAAUUAUCAGCUGGUUGACCUAGCCACCUGUAAUUAUCAGCUGGUUGACCUAGCCACCUGUAAUUAUCAGCUGGUUGACCUAGCCACCUGUAAUUAUCAGCUGGUUGACCUAGCCACCUGCAAUUAUCAGCCGGUUGACCUAGCCACCUGUAAUUAUCAGCCGGUUGACCUAGCCACCUGUAAUUAUCAGCCGGUUGACCUAGCCACCUGUAAUUAUCAGCCGGUUGACCUAGCCACCUGUAAUUAUCAGCAGGUUGACCUAGCCACCUGUAAUUAUCAGAUGGUUGACCUAGCCACCUGUAAUUAUCAGCUGGUUGACCUAGCCACCUGUAAUUAUCAGCUGGUUGACCUAGCCACCUGUAAUUAUCAGCUGGUUGACCUAGCCACCUGUAAUUAUCAGCUGGUUGACCUAGCCACCUGUAAUUAUCAGCUGGUUGACCUAGCCACCUGUAAUUAUCAGCUGGUUGACCUAGCCACCUGUAAUUAUCAGCUGGUUGACCUAGCCACCUGUAAUUAUCAGCUGGUUGACCUAGCCACCUGUAAUUAUCAGCUGGUUGACCUAGCCACCUGUAAUUAUCAGCCGGUUGACCUAGCCACCUGUAAUUAUCAGCCGGUUGACCUAGCCACCUGUAAUUAUCAGCCGGUUGACCUAGCCACCUGUAAUUAUCAGCCGGUUGACCUAGCCACCUGUAAUUAUCAGCUGGUUGACCUAGCCACCUGUAAUUAUCAGCUGGUUGACCUAGCCACCUGUAAUUAUCAGCUGGUUGACCUAGCCACCUGUAAUUAUCAGCUGGUUGACCUAGCCACCUGUAAUUAUCAGCAGGUUGACCUAGCCACCUGUAAUUAUCAGCUGGUUGACCUAGCCACCUGUAAUUAUCAGCUGGUUGACCUAGCCACCUGUAAUUAUCAGCUGGUUGACCUAGCCACCUGUAAUUAUCAGCUGGUUGACCUAGCCACCUGUAAUUAUCAGCUGGUUGACCUAGCCACCUGUAAUUAUCAGCUGGUUGACCUAGCCACCUGUAAUUAUCAGCUGGUUGACCUAGCCACCUGUAAUUAUCAGCCGGUUGACCUAGCCACCUGUAAUUAUCAGCUGGUUGACCUAGCCACCUGUAAUUAUCAGUUGGUUGACCUAGCCACCUGUAAUUAUCAGCUGGUUGACCUAGCCACCUGUAAUUAUCAGCUGGUUGACCUAGCCACCUGUAAUUAUCAGCUGGUUGACCUAGCCACCUGUAAUUAUCAGCCGGUUGACCUAGCCACCUGUAAUUAUCAGCUGGUUGACCUAGCCACCUGUAAUUAUCAGCUGGUUGACCUAGCCACCUGUAAUUAUCAGCUGGUUGACCUAGCCACCUGUAAUUAUCAGCUGGUUGACCUAGCCACCUGUAAUUAUCAGCUGGUUGACCUAGCCACCUGUAAUUAUCAGCCGGUUGACCUAGCCACCUGUAAUUAUCAGCUGUUGUCAAAGCCGAAAUGA